UGGGGAAUUUUCCGCAAUGGGCGAAAGCCUGACGGAGCAAUACCGCGUGAGGGAGGAAGGCUUUUGGGUUGUAAACCUCUUUUUUAAAGGAAGAAGAAAGUGACGGUACUUUAAGAAUCAGCAUCGGCUAACUCCGUGCCAGCAGCCGCGGUAAUACGGAGGAUGCAAGCGUUAUCCGGAAUCAUUGGGCGUAAAGCGUCCGCAGGUGGUUCAUCAAGUCUGCUGUUAAAGACAGAAGCUCAACUUCUGGCAAGCGGUGGAAACUGGUGAACUAGAGUAUGGUAGGGGUUGAGGGAAUUCCCAGUGUAGCGGUGAAAUGCGUAGAUAUUGGGAAGAACACCAGUGGCGAAGGCGCUCAACUGGGCCAUAACUGACACUCAGGGACGAAAGCUAGGGUAGCGAAAGGGAUUAGAUACCCGCGUAGUCC
RNAcentral lists this ribosomal RNA (427 nucleotides) under uncultured prokaryote. RNAcentral's name for it is "bacterial SSU rRNA". It matches the Rfam family "Bacterial small subunit ribosomal RNA", at positions 355 to 796 of the family's 1533-position model. The record is from RNAcentral.